RNAcentral lists this ribosomal RNA (503 nucleotides) under uncultured bacterium. RNAcentral's name for it is "bacterial SSU rRNA". It matches the Rfam family "Bacterial small subunit ribosomal RNA", at positions 32 to 512 of the family's 1533-position model. The record is from RNAcentral.
AAUCAACGCUGGCGGCGUGCCUCAGACAUGCAAGUCGAACGCGAAAGGCUCCUUCGGGGGCCGAGUAGAGUGGCGCACGGGUGAGUAACACGUAGGUAAUUUGCCUUUGGGUGGGGAAUAACUCAGGGAAACUUGAGCUAAUACCGCAUAAUGCAGCGGCUCGACAUCGAGACAGUUGUUAAAGCGGGGGAUCGCAAGACCUCGCGCCUGAAGAGAAGCCUGCGGCAGAUUAGCUAGUUGGUAGGGUAAUGGCCUACCAAGGCGACGAUCUGUAACCGGCCUGAGAGGGCGGUCGGUCACACUGACACUGACAUACGGGUCAGACUCCUACGGGAGGCAGCAGUCGGGAAUUUUGGGCAAUGGGCGCAAGCCUGACCCAGCAACGCCGCGUGAAGGAUGAAAUCCCUCGGGAUGUAAACUUCGCAAGAAUGGGAAGAAUAAGUAGGGGACAAUACCCCUAUGAUGACGGUACCAUUUGUAAGCUCGGCUAACUUCGUGCCAGC